Molecule: ribosomal RNA, 253 nt
Filed under: uncultured bacterium
Lineage: Bacteria
Description: partial 16S ribosomal RNA
Rfam family: Bacterial small subunit ribosomal RNA
Source: RNAcentral
UACAGAGGUCUCAAGCGUUGUUCGGAUUCAUUGGGCGUAAAGGGUGCGUAGGUGGCGCUGUAAGUCAGGUGUGAAAUUUCGGAGCUCAACUCCGAAACUGCAUUUGAUACUGCGGUGCUUGAGGACUGGAGAGGAGACUGGAAUUCACGGUGUAGCAGUGAAAUGCGUAGAUAUCUGGAGGAACACCGGUGGCGAAGGCGGCAUCCUGGACCGGUAUUGACGCUGAGGCGCGAAAGCCAGGGGAGCAAACGGG